CCUGUUCACUAAGAUUUCUAGGUUUCCGGAUAUGUGGAGAACGCAUGGAAAAGUCUCAGCGGAUUCCUCUCCAGGUGUCCCACUCCUCAGUAGUAGAGACUGCAUGCUUGCUGAGGUUAAGAGUCUCCUUGCUGGCUUCAAACUCAGAGCAAUCUACCUGCCUUUGCCUCCAGUGUUGGGAUUAAAAGUGUUUACCACCGUGUCCAACCAAUUUUUAUAAUAAGCACACCUAGCACCACGAAACCAAAAGGUGUGUAGGCUGCCAGACAUCGAGC
Long non-coding RNA from Grammomys surdaster, 275 nucleotides. RefSeq lists it as uncharacterized. The transcript has 3 exons. NCBI's taxonomy places the organism in Eukaryota, Metazoa, Chordata, Mammalia, Rodentia, Muridae. The record is from RefSeq and is a predicted model, not a curated record.